Non-coding RNA from Oryza meridionalis, 192 nucleotides. The record is from Rfam. NCBI's taxonomy places the organism in Eukaryota, Viridiplantae, Streptophyta, Magnoliopsida, Poales, Poaceae.
UUUAAGUAUAGCUAUAAAUUUCUAUUGUCCGUCUUAUUUGAAAAUUUUUUUAUAAUUAGUAUUUUUUUACUAUGAGAUGAUAAAACAUGAAUAGUAUUUUACUCAUGACUUAUGUUUUUAAAUUUUUCUAAAUUUUUUUUAAAUAAGACGAACAAUUAAAGUUAGACACGGAAAAUCAUGGCUACACUUAAA